CCUACGGGAGGCAGCAGCCGCGGUAAUACGGAGGGUGCAAGCGUUAUCCGGAUUCACUGGGUUUAAAGGGUGCGUAGGCGGGCAGGUAAGUCAGUGGUGAAAUCCUGGAGCUCAACUCCAGAACUGCCAUUGAUACUAUCUAUCUUGAAUAUUGUGGAGGUAAGCGGAAUAUGUCAUGUAGCGGUGAAAUGCUUAGAUAUGACAUAGAACACCCAUUGCGAAGGCAGCUUACUACGCAUAUAUUGACGCUGAGGCACGAAAGCGUGGGAUCAAACAGGAUUAGAUACCCUGGUAGUCCACGCCCUAAACGAUGGAUACUCGACAUACGCGAUACACUGUGUGUGUCUGAGCGAAAGCAUUAAGUAUCCCACCUGGGAAGUACGUUCGCAAGAACGAAACUCAAAUGAAUUGACGG
Molecule: ribosomal RNA, 415 nt
Filed under: uncultured Bacteroidota bacterium
Lineage: Bacteria; Pseudomonadati; Bacteroidota
Description: bacterial SSU rRNA
Rfam family: Bacterial small subunit ribosomal RNA
Source: RNAcentral